This 497-nucleotide ribosomal RNA is filed under the name uncultured bacterium. Its description in RNAcentral is "partial 16S ribosomal RNA". It matches the Rfam family "Bacterial small subunit ribosomal RNA", at positions 28 to 507 of the family's 1533-position model. The record is from RNAcentral.
GAUGAACGCUGGCGGCGUGCCUAAUACAUGCAAGUCGAGCGAACAGACGAGGAGCUUGCUCCUCUGACGUUAGCGGCGGACGGGUGAGUAACACGUGGAUAACCUACCUAUAAGACUGGGAUAACUUCGGGAAACCGGAGCUAAUACCGGAUAAUAUAUUGAACCGCAUGGUUCAAUAGUGAAAGACGGUUUUGCUGUCACUUAUAGAUGGAUCCGCGCCGCAUUAGCUAGUUGGUAAGGUAACGGCUUAUCAAGGCGACGAUGCGUAGCCGACCUGAGAGGGUGAUCGGCCACACUGGAACUGAGACACGGUCCAGACACCUACGGGAGGCAGCAGUAGGGAAUCUUCCGCAAUGGGCGAAAGCCUGACGGAGCAACGCCGCGUGAGUGAUGAAGGUCUUCGGAUCGUAAAACUCUGUUAUUAGGGAAGAACAAAUGUGUAAGUAACUAUGCACGUCUUGACGGUACCUAAUCAGAAAGCCACGGCUAACUACGUG